CUCCGUAGGUGAACCUGCGGAGGGAUCAUUACACAAAUAUGAAGGCGGGCUGGAACCUCUCGGGGUUACAGCCUUGCUGAAUUAUUCACCCUUGUCUUUUGCGUACUUCUUGUUUCCUUGGUGGGUUCGCCCACCACUAGGACAAACAUAGACCUUUUGUAAUUGCAAUCAGCGUCAGUAACAAAUUAAUAAUUACAACUUUCAACAACGGAUCUCUUGGUUCUGGCAUCGAUGAAGAACGCAGCGAAAUGCGAUAAGUAGUGUGAAUUGCAGAAUUCAGUGAAUCAUCGAAUCUUUGAACGCACAUUGCGCCCUUUGGUAUUCCAAAGGGCAUGCCUGUUCGAGCGUCAUUUGUACCCUCAAGCUUUGCUUGGUGUUGGGCGUCUUGUCUCUAGCUUUGCUGGAGACUCGCCUUAAAGUAAUUGGCAGCCGGCCUACUGGUUUCGGAGCGCAGCACAAGUCGCACUCUCUAUCAGCAAAGGUCUAGCAUCCAUUAAGCCUUUUUUUCAACUUUUGACCUCGGAUCAGGUAGGGAUACCCGCUGAACUA
RNAcentral lists this ribosomal RNA (549 nucleotides) under uncultured fungus. RNAcentral describes it as "eukaryotic LSU rRNA". The stretch from base 197 to 350 matches the Rfam family "5.8S ribosomal RNA". The record is from RNAcentral. Lineage: Eukaryota; Fungi.